UGAGUGACCUGCUUGUUCUUCUCUACCC
RNAcentral lists this non-coding RNA (28 nucleotides) under Mus musculus (house mouse). The record is from RNAcentral. Lineage: Eukaryota; Metazoa; Chordata; Mammalia; Rodentia; Muridae.